AGACCCGAAACCCGGUGAUCUAGCCAUGGGCAGGUUGAAGGUUGGGUAACACUAACUGGAGGACCGAACCGACUAAUGUUGAAAAAUUAGCGGAUGACCUGUGGCUGGGGGUGAAAGGCCAAUCAAACCGGGAGAUAGCUGGUUCUCCCCGAAAGCUAUUUAGGUAGCGCCUCGUGAAUUCAUCUCCGGGGGUAGAGCACUGUUUCGGCUAGGGGGCCAUCCCGGCUUACCAACCCGAUGCAAACUGCGAAUACCGGAGAAUGUUAUCACGGGAGACACACGGCGGGUGCUAACGUCCGUCGUGAAGAGGGAAACAACCCAGACCGCCAGCUAAGGUCCCAAAGUCAUGGUUAAGUGGGAAACGAUGUGGGAAGGCCCAGACAGCCAGGAUGUUGGCUUAGAAGCAGCCAUCAUUUAAAGAAAGCGUAAUAGCUCACUGGUCGAGUCGGCCUGCGCGGAAGAUGUAACGGGGCUAAACCAUGCACCGAAGCUGCGGCAGCGACGCUGAUGCGUUGUUGGGUAGGGGAGCGUUCUGUAAGCCUGUGAAGGUGGCCUGUGAGGGUUGCUGGAGGUAUCAGAAGUGCGAAUGCUGACAUAAGUAACGAUAAAGCGGGUGAAAAGCCCGCUCGCCGGAAGACCAAGGGUUCCUGUCCAACGUUAAUCGGGGCAGGGUGAGUCGAC
RNAcentral lists this ribosomal RNA (681 nucleotides) under Salmonella enterica. RNAcentral's name for it is "partial 23S ribosomal RNA". It matches the Rfam family "Bacterial large subunit ribosomal RNA", at positions 711 to 1388 of the family's 2925-position model. The record is from RNAcentral. Lineage: Bacteria; Pseudomonadati; Pseudomonadota; Gammaproteobacteria; Enterobacterales; Enterobacteriaceae.